AAAGACACCAAAUACAAGUAGUUACUGAAACUAGUCAUUAGAUCGAUUCUAAUCACAAAAAUAACAAAAACACCAUGUACCCGUAGCUACUGAAACUAGUCAUCAGAUAGUUUCUAUUCACAAAAAUAACAAAAGACACCAAGAUAUAUCCUUAGUUACCGAAACUAACCAUCAGAUAGUUUCUAUUCACAAAAAUAACAAAAGACACCAAGUAUCCUUAGUUACUGAAACUAACCAUCAGAUAGAUUCUAUUCACAAAAAUAACAAAAGACACAGCUAGAGAACCCGACGUUACUGAAACUAACCAUCAGAUCUGUUCUAUUCACAAAAAUUAUGAAAAGACAAAGUAUCCGUAUUUACUGCAACAAGUCAUUAAAUCGGCUCUGAUAAAAAAAAAUGAAAGACACAAAGUACCCGUCGUUACUAAAAGACGUCAUCAGAUCAGUUACAAUCACAAAAAUAACCUUAAACACCAAGAACCCGUAGUUACUGAAACUAGUACACAGAUCGGUUAUAAUCACAAAAAUAACCUGAAACACCAAGAACCCGUAGUUACUGAAACUAGUACACAGAUCGGUUAUAAUCACAAAAAUAACCUGAAACACCAAGAACCCGUAGUUACUAAAAGACGUCAUCAGAUCAGUUACAAUCACAAAAAAUAACCUUAAACACCAAGAACCCGUAGUUACUGAAACUAGUACACAGAUCGGUUAUAAUCACAAAAAUAACCUGAAACACCAAGAACCCGUAGUUACUAAAAGACGUCAUCAGAUCAGUUACAAUCACAAAAAUAACCUUAAACACCAAGAACCCGUAGUUACUGAAACUAGUACACAGAUCGGUUAUAAUCACAAAAAUAACCUGAAACACCAAGAACCCGUAGUUACUGAAAAACGUCAUCAGAUCAGUUACAAUCACAAAAUAACCUUAAACACCAAGAACCCGUAGUUAC
RNAcentral lists this long non-coding RNA (952 nucleotides) under Mytilus galloprovincialis (Mediterranean mussel). The record is from RNAcentral. Lineage: Eukaryota; Metazoa; Mollusca; Bivalvia; Mytilida; Mytilidae.